This 67-nucleotide small RNA is filed under the name Hoeflea sp. EC-HK425. Its description in RNAcentral is "S-element". It matches the Rfam family "S-element". From Rfam's summary of the family: This family represents a group of S-elements from p42d and related plasmids. The S-element has multiple functions and is believed to act as a negative regulator of repC transcription, be required for efficient replication and act as a translational enhancer of repC. The record is from RNAcentral. Lineage: Bacteria; Pseudomonadati; Pseudomonadota; Alphaproteobacteria; Hyphomicrobiales; Rhizobiaceae.
UGUCAAGAGUCUUUGGCACCGUUUUGGUGAGCAGAUUUCUUUUGCCUUUUGAAAGGUGAUGGAAAUG